This 488-nucleotide ribosomal RNA is filed under the name uncultured bacterium. Its description in RNAcentral is "bacterial SSU rRNA". It matches the Rfam family "Bacterial small subunit ribosomal RNA", at positions 501 to 988 of the family's 1533-position model. The record is from RNAcentral.
CUACGUGCCAGCAGCCGCGGUAAUACGUAGGGUGCGAGCGUUAAUCGGAAUUACUGGGCGUAAAGCGGGCGCAGACGGUUACUUAAGCAGGAUGUGAAAUCCCCGGGCUCAACCUGGGAACUGCGUUCUGAACUGGGUGACUAGAGUGUGUCAGAGGGAGGUAGAAUUCCACGUGUAGCAGUGAAAUGCGUAGAGAUGUGGAGGAAUACCGAUGGCGAAGGCAGCCUCCUGGGAUAACACUGACGUUCAUGCCCGAAAGCGUGGGUAGCAAACAGGAUUAGAUACCCUGGUAGUCCACGCCCUAAACGAUGUCGAUUAGCUGUUGGGCAGCAUGACUGCUUAGUAGCGAAGCUAACGCGUGAAAUCGACCGCCUGGGGAGUACGGUCGCAAGAUUAAAACUCAAAGGAAUAGACGGGGACCCGCACAAGCGGUGGAGCAUGUGGUUUAAUUCGAAGAUACGCGAAGAACCUUACCCGGACUUGAUAUC